AAUAUUGGACAGGGGAGCUCAUGAUAUGGGCUGAGAAAGGGCUUUAUAGCACCUGACCCUAAAAACCUGAUCGGGAUAAUGCCCGCGUAGGGAAAGGAGUUUAAAGCGCA
Molecule: non-coding RNA, 110 nt
Filed under: Peptococcaceae bacterium
Lineage: Bacteria; Bacillati; Bacillota; Clostridia; Eubacteriales; Peptococcaceae
Description: TPP sequence
Rfam family: TPP riboswitch aptamer (THI element)
About the family: Vitamin B(1) in its active form thiamin pyrophosphate (TPP) is an essential coenzyme that is synthesised by coupling of pyrimidine and thiazole moieties in bacteria. The previously detected thiamin-regulatory element, thi box was extended, resulting in a new, highly conserved RNA secondary structure, the THI element, which is widely distributed in eubacteria and also occurs in some archaea.
Source: RNAcentral